This 467-nucleotide ribosomal RNA is filed under the name uncultured bacterium. RNAcentral describes it as "bacterial SSU rRNA". It matches the Rfam family "Bacterial small subunit ribosomal RNA", at positions 30 to 488 of the family's 1533-position model. The record is from RNAcentral.
AUUGAACGCUGGCGGCAGGCCUAACACAUGCAAGUCGAGCGGCAGCACGGGUACUUGUACCUGGUGGCGAGCGGCGGACGGGUGAGUAAUGCCUAGGAAUCUGCCUGGUAGUGGGGGAUAACGCUCGGAAACGGACGCUAAUACCGCAUACGUCCUACGGGAGAAAGCAGGGGACCUUCGGGCCUUGCGCUAUCAGAUGAGCCUAGGUCGGAUUAGCUAGUUGGUGAGGUAAUGGCUCACCAAGGCGACGAUCCGUAACUGGUCUGAGAGGAUGAUCAGUCACACUGGAACUGAGACACGGUCCAGACUCCUACGGGAGGCAGCAGUGGGGAAUAUUGGACAAUGGGCGAAAGCCUGAUCCAGCCAUGCCGCGUGUGUGAAGAAGGUCUUCGGAUUGUAAAGCACUUUAAGUUGGGAGGAAGGGCAGUUACCUAAUACGUAAUUGUUUUGACGUUACCGACAGAAUA